CUACGGGUCGCACCAGUUAGGCAUAAUCUACAAUGCGCGAAAGCGUGAUAGUUUGAGUCAGAGUGUUUUUCAAAUGAAAUACUUUUGCCAAAUGUAAAAAGUUUGGCGAAUAAGGACUGGGUAAGACGAGUGCCAGCCGCCGCGGUAAUACUCGCGGUCCAAGUCGCAGCCAUUUUUAUUGGGUCUAAAACAUCCGUAGCUUGCUUUGUAAGUCCCUUGUGAAAUUUUAUCUCUCAAAGAUAGAGCGCGCAGGGGGUACUGCUAAGCUAGAGAUUGGGAGACGUAAGAAGUACGUUUAAAGUAUCGGUAAAAUGAGUUAAUCUUAAACGGACUAACAAUAGCGAAGGCAUCUUACGAGAACAGUUCUGACAGUAAGGGAUGAAAGCUAGGGGCGCAAAACGGAUUAGAUACCCCUGUAGUC
This 421-nucleotide ribosomal RNA is filed under the name uncultured archaeon. RNAcentral's name for it is "partial 16S ribosomal RNA". It matches the Rfam family "Archaeal small subunit ribosomal RNA", at positions 323 to 746 of the family's 1478-position model. The record is from RNAcentral.